Molecule: ribosomal RNA, 305 nt
Filed under: uncultured bacterium
Lineage: Bacteria
Description: bacterial SSU rRNA
Rfam family: Bacterial small subunit ribosomal RNA
Source: RNAcentral
GUCUUCCUACGGGGGGCAGCAGUAGGGAAUAUUGCUCAAUGGGGGAAACCCUGAAGCAGCAACGCCGCGUGGAGGAUGAAGGUUUUAGGAUUGUAAACUCCUUUUGUGAGAGAAGAUAAUGACGGUAUCUCACGAAUAAGCAUCGGCUAACUCCGUGCCAGCAGCCGCGGUAAUACGGAGGGGGCAAGCGUUACUCGGAAUCACUGGGCGUAAAGAGUGCGCAGGCGGGCGUGUAAGUCAGAUGUGAAAUCCUGUAGCUUAACUACAGAACAGCAUUUGAAACUAUGAGUCUAGAGUGUGGGAGG